Molecule: transfer RNA, 69 nt
Filed under: Parakontikia atrata
Lineage: Eukaryota; Metazoa; Platyhelminthes; Tricladida; Geoplanidae
Description: tRNA-Arg
Source: RNAcentral
GUUUAGAGACCUGAUUUGAAGGAUUCGAUUUCGACUCGAAACAAAAACAAGUUAUUUGUUUUCUAGAUU